This 67-nucleotide transfer RNA is filed under the name Bagre panamensis (Chilhuil sea catfish). RNAcentral describes it as "tRNA-Cys". It matches the Rfam family "tRNA". Rfam says of the family: Transfer RNA (tRNA) molecules are approximately 80 nucleotides in length. Their secondary structure includes four short double-helical elements and three loops (D, anti-codon, and T loops). The record is from RNAcentral. Lineage: Eukaryota; Metazoa; Chordata; Actinopteri; Siluriformes; Ariidae.
AGCUCUGUGGUGUACAACACGUUGGAUUGCAAAUCCAAAGAUGUAGUCUUACUGGCUGCCGGGGCUU